Molecule: ribosomal RNA, 253 nt
Filed under: uncultured prokaryote
Description: partial 16S ribosomal RNA
Rfam family: Bacterial small subunit ribosomal RNA
Source: RNAcentral
UACGGAGGGGGCUAGCGUUGUUCGGAAUCACUGGGCGUAAAGCGCGCGUAGGCGGUUAUGUAAGUCAGGGGUGAAAUCCUGAGGCUCAACCUCAGAAUUGCCUUUGAAACUGUAUGACUGGAGUGUCGGAGGGGAUAGCGGAAUUGCUAAUGUAGCGGUGAAAUGCGUAGAUAUUAGCAGGAACACCGGUGGCGAAGGCGGCUAUCUGGACGACAACUGACGCUGAGGCGCGAAAGCGCGGGGAUCAAACAGG